GACUCCCUUCCGUAGCUCGGGGGGUAAAGUCGCAAGGGUGCGGCGGCGGGGAACCCCGGUUCGAGACCGGCCGCCCCAAUACGGAGGGGAGUC
This 93-nucleotide unclassified non-coding RNA is filed under the name simian adenovirus 2. RNAcentral describes it as "Simian adenovirus 2 virus-associated RNA". Lineage: Varidnaviria; Bamfordvirae; Preplasmiviricota; Pharingeaviricetes; Rowavirales; Adenoviridae. The record is from RNAcentral.